RNAcentral lists this ribosomal RNA (466 nucleotides) under uncultured bacterium. Its description in RNAcentral is "partial 16S ribosomal RNA". It matches the Rfam family "Bacterial small subunit ribosomal RNA", at positions 28 to 505 of the family's 1533-position model. The record is from RNAcentral.
GACGAACGCUGGCGGCGUGCUUAACACAUGCAAGUCGAACGGAAAGGCCCUGCUUUUGUGGGGUGCUCGAGUGGCGAACGGGUGAGUAACACGUGAGUAACCUGCCCUUGACUUUGGGAUAACUUCAGGAAACUGGGGCUAAUACCGGAUAGGAGCUCCUGCUGCAUGGUGGGGGUUGGAAAGUUUCGGCGGUUGGGGAUGGACUCGCGGCUUAUCAGCUUGUUGGUGGGGUAGUGGCUUACCAAGGCUUUGACGGGUAGCCGGCCUGAGAGGGUGACCGGCCACAUUGGGUAUGAGAUGCGGCCGAGGCUCCUACGGGACGCCGCAGGGGAGCAUAGUGCACCAUGGGCGGGAGCCUGAUGCAGCACCGCCGCGUGCGAGAUGCCGGCCUUCGGGUUGUAAACCGCUUUCGCCUGUGACGAAGCGUGUGUGACGGUAAUGGGUAAAGGCGCCCCGGCUCUCUACG